CAAUAGCGUAUAUUUAAGUUGUUGCAGUUAAAAAGCUCGUAGUUGGAUUUCGGAUGGGACUUGCCGGUCCGUCGUUUCGAUGUGCACUGGCCAGUCCUAUCUUGUUGUCGGGGACUAGCUCCUGGGCUUCACUGUCCGGGACUAGGAGCUGACGAGGUUACUUUGAGUAAAUUAGAGUGUUCAAAGCAAGCCUACGCUCUGAAUACAUUAGCAUGGAAUAACACGAUAGGACUCUGGCUUAUCUUGUUGGUCUGUGGGACCAGAGUAAUGAUUAAGAGGGACAGUCGGGGACAUUCGUAUUUCAUUGUCAGAGGUGAAAUUCUUGGAUUUAUGAAAGACGAACUUCUGCGAAAGCAUUUGUCAAGGAUGUUUUCAUUAA
This 379-nucleotide ribosomal RNA is filed under the name uncultured eukaryote. RNAcentral describes it as "partial 18S ribosomal RNA". It matches the Rfam family "Eukaryotic small subunit ribosomal RNA", at positions 592 to 976 of the family's 1831-position model. The record is from RNAcentral.